CCUACGGGAGGCAGCAGUGGGGGAUAUUGCACAAUGGGGGGAACCCUGAUGCAGCGACGCCGCGUGGGUGAAGGAGUGCUUCGGCAUGUAAAGCCCUAUCGGCAGGGAAGAAGCAAGACGGUACCUGACUAAGAAGCCCCGGCUAACUACGUGCCAGCAGCCGCGGUAAUACGUAGGGGGCGAGCGUUAUCCGGAUUCACUGGGUGUAAAGGGAGUGUAGACGGCGAUGCAAGCCAGGGGUGAAAGCCCGGGGCCCAACCCCGGGACUGCCGUUGGAACUGGGCGGCUAGAGUGCGGGAGGAGCAGGCGGAAUGCGUGGUGUAGCGGUGAAAUGCGUAGAUAUCAGGAGGAACACCGACGGCGAAGGCGGCCUGCUGGACCGCGACUGACGUUGAGGCUCGAAAGCGUGGGGAGCGAACAGGAUUAGAUACCCUGGUAGUC
RNAcentral lists this ribosomal RNA (441 nucleotides) under uncultured bacterium. RNAcentral's name for it is "partial 16S ribosomal RNA". It matches the Rfam family "Bacterial small subunit ribosomal RNA", at positions 338 to 795 of the family's 1533-position model. The record is from RNAcentral.